RNAcentral lists this long non-coding RNA (28928 nucleotides) under Marmota monax (woodchuck). The stretch from base 3291 to 3358 matches the Rfam family "tRNA". The record is from RNAcentral. Lineage: Eukaryota; Metazoa; Chordata; Mammalia; Rodentia; Sciuridae.
CAAUAAUGAAUUUAGGAAAUUUUUAAUACUAUCAAUAUUUUUUAAAGUUUAAUCAAAUAUGCUAGAGUAGAAAAUGAAUUCAAUUUUUUUCUACAAUUUGGAUUACAAAAUAAUUUUCAUAUAAAGAGGUGAUCAAAGAAUAUGUAAUCAAAAUGUAGGAAACAGUAUUACAGAGAUGUGCUAGAUGUUUAAUGAUAAGAAAUGUUACUUUUCUGAAUUUGGUAAUAUUGUUAUUAGUUUUUAAAUGCAUAAUUGAUGUGACAUCUUCUCAUAUUAUAAGUACUUUAAGUAUAAUUUUAAGUAUAAGUACUUAUAAGUAUAAUUUUGUGUUUUAAUUUUGGAUAGUCUCCAAGUUUCAUAAAAUUUGAAUUCAUCCUGAACGCUAGAAGAUCUUGAUCAGUUCAGCUAAAUAAAAAUAGUCUGUUUUUUCAAAAGAGCAAGACUUUAUAUUCUGGUGCAUAACUGUGAUGCUGGCAUUCAAAGAUGGCACUUAAUGAACCUGCAGAUAUUUUUCUCAGAGCCAUACAACAUGGACUCCCAAGCUGCAGGGCAAGUGUGUCUUGAGAUGCUCUGAUAUUAGAAGGGAUAAUUUUAUUAUUUUAGGAAUUGUUCUAGUAUCCAAUAGGAAGAGUUCUAAUCCCUGUUGAAUUUCAUAUUCUGUCAGAGUUUUUGAGCAGAGACCCCCUAAGCCAAGUGCACUGUGAGCUAUCUCCGUGGCCUGCACCUGUUGGACAGAGAGCCAUAUGCUCCACCCUGAAAUAAGUUAUGUUGGGCAAACACUGUGGCAUAUGUUCUGACUUCUGCCUCUGAACUUCUAGUUUGUGUUCAAUAUAGUUGUUAAUUGAAAAGAGAUAGUUUUUCAUUUUAUGCGAGGCAAAAGUGAAUGGCAAAUAUGUUUAAGUUUAAAUUUCACCUAUUAGCAUAUUUUUAUCUCAUAACUGAGUUUUGCUAUACUUACUUCACUUCCCCAACUUAUUGCUUUAAAAUAAACAUUUCUCUCAGAGCAAUUCAAUUUUAAGACGAGAGAGAUGUUUAAUAAUCAAGAAUAACAAUUACCCAAAAUAUAUUCUCCUCUUCAUUUGAGGACAUACUCCCUGGACCAUAUCCCAACUGCAAAUAGGUUGGUUAGCAAAAGAAAUGUUUUAUUCAUUCCUCUCUAAUUAGAAUUCAGGAAAUAGAGUUCCCAAAAGAUGAGUAAAUAUAUUCCUUUAUUUUCACAUUGUACCAUUGUUGAAUUUAUGGUGUUGGAGAAAGUACCAGAAUAGCUAUUCACAAUUUAUUAGUAUUCACUGCAAGAACUGACCUGAACCUCAUGAUAAAAUAAUCUUCUUAAAUACCUGAACAUUAAUAUGUGUUUUAUUUUCAGUGAAAUAUGCACAUAUAAAUUUUUCCAAGAUAAUGUUUGUCUUUGAAAGUUCAUCUUUACUUUUGGAAGUAUUUUCUAGAAUUCUUAUAAUCUAAUUCUAAUUUCCUAACCAAUUAUUCCAGUGUAAUAGGAAGUAUUUAACCUAGAAGUUUUAGUUUUAAAUGGAAAAUCUUUUGAAUAUAGUUUCUCUGAAAACCCAGUAUAUUUUAUUAUGUUUAAACAUUUUUCCCUCUCUGUUGGCACAAUAAGUCAUGUGCUAUUAGAUCAUAGCACACUUUCUUUCUCCAUAGAAUUUAGUUCAUCUGUAUUCUAUAGAAAUUAGUCUAGAACCAUGUUUCAAUUUUAGUGCUGUCAGUAUCUAUUAUUCAAGUUACUAAUGUGGUUGUGAAUUGAUGAACAAGAUUAAAUGUUUUGACCAUCUUCUUAAACAUUAAGUUCGUGUUUACUCACCAUUCACACUAAAUCUUACACAAGGAUAUAAUGGAAAUGAAUUCUGUUUAGCAAGUGUCUUAGUCAUCUUUCCAUCACUGGACAAAAUACCUGAAAUAAACAACUUAAAAGGAGAAAAGACUUAUUUUUCACAGUUUCAGAAAUUUCAAUCCAUAGUCUGUCAACUCCAGUGCUUUUCGGCCUGUGGCAAGGCAAAACAUAAUGGCAGGGAACAUAUGGUGGAGCAAAAUUCUCAACUCAUGGCUUCUGAAAAGCAAAAGAAUAAGCUUGUUUUUAUAAAAAAAAAAAAGAAAGAAAGAAAGAAAAAGAAAAAAAAAGAAAGGAAGAAAGAAAAAGCUCCUCUCCCCAAACCCAUUAAGCUUGAAUCCAUAAGUGGAUUAAUCCGCUCAUGGGGUCAGCGCCCCUGUGAUCCAAUCACCUUCUAAAGACUCCCAUCUCUUAACACUGCUGCACUGGCAACCAGGCAUUCAACACAUGAGCUCUUAGAGGACAUUUAAAAUUCAAACUAUAGCUUUCCACCUCCGGCCCCCAAAAGACUCAUGUCCCUCUCACAAUGCAUACUGCAUUCAGUUCAUUUCUGAGAGUUCCCAUAGUGUAAAUGGUUCCACAAUUGCUCAAAGUCCAAAGUCUCUUCUGAUCUUCAAGGCAAACUUCUACCUGUGAGCGCACAUAAAACAACAACAAAUAAUUUUAUACUUCCAAGAUACAAAGGUACAGAGUAAAUAUUCCCAUUCUAAAAAGGGAGGAAUGAGGCAAAGAAAGGAAGGAUCAGACCAAAGCAAGUCCAAAACCCAGCAGGGCAAUCAUCGUAUAGCUCCAUGUUCAGCACCUAAGCACCUGGUUGCCUAAUGUACACUCCAAAGGACUUGAGCAUCCCUGCUUCUAUUGCCUUGCCAGCUGAAGCCAUAUUGCCUCUCUUUUGGGUUGGCUCUAUUCAUGGACUAAAUCUUCCUGGGAUCCCCACCGAAGCUUCAACUUCACUUUCAUGGCUGUCUGCAUCAUCUUCUCAGGGGAUGCUUGCAGGGACUCCAAUACUGCCUUGAAAUGUUGGUGAAAGUUCUCUAAGACCUCACAACUCUUGCAUUCUUCAUGCAUACAAAACCAGCAUCAUGUGAACAGGGCCAAGGUCUUCCAUCAGCAGUAGUCAGGUCUACUUGAACCAAGGCUAUGAUGGCCUGGAAGACUAACCUGCCCCAUCAGUGAUCCCUGAUUUGAAUAAGUCAUACUGGUUUGGAAUGAAUGAUCCAAAAGCCAUCUUUAUCUUACAUGAAAGUUCCUGUCAACACUGACCAUAAAUAUAUUUAUUGUUCAUAUGAGAACAAUAUAACUGCUAAAAAUUUUUUUUUGCAGGAUUAAGAAGGCUCCUGUAAGUAUGAAAUAGAAGAUAAUCAAUUGAUAGGUGGAUCUUGCAUGAUUAGGGAAAAAGCUUUGUUAUGAAAAAAUAAUAAGUCAAUAAGCAUUUUACACCAGGGCUGAUGAUGUAACUCAGUGGUAGAGUACUUGCUUAGUAUGCAAAAGGCCCUAGGUUCAAUCCCAUUACCAAACACAAGAAAACUUCAAAGUGGACUGAUGUGUUUAAUGUGCGUGAGGCCCUAGGUUCAAUCUCCAGCACUACACACAUACACACAUGCAGACAUGUGUAGACACACAUGCACAAAACAACUUAAGCCACUAUUUCUUGGUGUUUUAGUUUGGAUCCAGAGUGUCCCCUAAAGUCUUAUGUGUUGAAGGCUUAGUCACCAAUGCAGCAGUGUUCAGAGGUGGGGCCUUUAGAAGGUGAUUCAACCAUGAGGGCACUGACCUCAUAAGUGGAUUAAUCCAUGUAUGGAUUUAUGGCUUAAUGGGUUUGGGGGAAGGGACUUUGUUAUAGAAGCAAGUUUUUCUUUGCUUCCUAGCCACCAUGGAGUGAGUAGCUUUGGUCCAUCACGUGCUCCAAGCGCACAAAGUUUACCUUGACACAGGCCCAAAGUGAUGGUGCCAGAUGAUGAUGGAUGAGAACCAUGAACAAAAAUAAUUUUUUCCUCCUUUUAUGUUAAUUUUCUCAGGUAUUUUGCUUACAGUGAUGAAACGCUGACUAAUAUGGAAAAUUAGUUCUAAGAAGUAGGGUCAUUGCUGUGACUUUACCUGACAAUGUGGUUCAGAAGUCUUUGGAAUUGGCUUGCAGGAGUAAUUCGGAAAAGCUUGGAGAAGCAGACUAGAAAAUUCUUAGAAUGCAGAGUGGAGCUUAAUGAAUGAGCUCAGAAGAACAGAAUACUAACAGGAAUGCUGAUAGUAAAGGCUGUUUUUCACAAGGUUUCAGAUGGAAAUUAGGAGUGUGUUGGGAAUUAGACUACAGGCCCUUUUGUUACAUUCUGGCAAAGAACUUGCCUCCAUUCUGUGCAUGCCCUGAGACUUUGCACUAGGCUGAAGUUAAAGGUAAUUAGUCUGGUGGAGUAAAUUUCAAUGCAGUACAGCAUUCAGGCACUAUGGGUAUUGCUGGCCACCUUUAGCCAGACUUAUAGUGAGAAUCAAAAACAAAAAGCAGAGCAGAAAGAUUUGAAAAACUUGCAGUUUUUCCAGAAAAGGAUUGUGUUUAAAGUCACAUGCAAGGAGGCUAUGCUUGUUAAAGAGAUCAAUGCCUUUUAAAAGCCAAGUACUUUGCACUGGGACAUUAAGAAAGAUGUCUUGGAGCAGCUCAGGAAUCAACAAGACACUCCCACUUUAGGCUCAAAGACCUUAGUUCGAGAAGUGAGCCCCAUGGCAUGCAGUUGCACAGAACUGUCUGGGGAAUUAUUUCCCCAGGAUUCAUUUCCCCAUAUUCAGUCAUCCAUGCAAUCAGAGGCCACUACUACUCAAACUGGUUUGAGACCUUGGCAUUGUCCACAUAAUGCUGAUUUUGUAGGCAUACAGAAUGCAAGAGUGGUGGUGACUUAAAGACUUCCACUGACAUUUCAAAGAAUGAGGCAAGAUUGGAGUCCCUGCAGCAUUCCCUGAGAGGAUUAUCUCUGGGACUCAAUGACUCUUAAAAAAAAAAAAAAAGCAUACCCAAUGCUAAACAUAUUGGCAAACUAACAACAGCUUUCUUCUUUGAUUUAUUUAAAAGAUAAUUUUGUUUUAUUGUAUGAACCAAAUUUUUUCAAUAUUUUAUUUUUUUUAGUUGUAGUUGGACACAAUGCCUUUAUUUCACUUAUUUUUUUUAUGUGAUGCUGAGGAUGGAAUCCAGGGUCUCGCAUGUAUGAGACUAUCGCUCUACCACCGAGCCACAACCCCGGCCCUGUAUGAACCAAAUUUUUAGGGUUGGCCACUAACCUGAAUAGAAAAAAAUCUUGGAUCUCAAAGACAGCAUAAAACAUUAUUAAUAUCUGCUAUUAACCAUUUUAGUGAACUUCCUGAAAUGGCAGUUACUAGACUCCUUAUCAUCUUGGAUAGGUGGUCAUGGACUUUCAUAUACCUUUGUGCUCCAAGCAUCUCUUAUAGUGGUCUUCUCCUAGCUUCAUGACUCUGAUUACUGAUUUUCAGUAUUACCAGUGGGGAUAUGGUCACUUACCAACCUCUGAGGUCAGUGUUUUUGCCAUUCCUUCACUCUAAUUGUUGCCACAUUGAGAUGAGAAAUGCCUCCUUAUAUCAGUAAAGAAGUGGGGGGCGGGAUUCAUCAGCUUCUUUCACAGUAAACUAUUGUGUCUGCUUCACUCUCAAACUUGACACUUCUCUCACUCCUCUCUCCAGGAAUUUGGAGAGAAGUUCUGAAAAGUCUAUGUCAAGAAAGUUGCCCAUAGUUCCACUCAGAAUGACUCCUCCUCUGGCAUUUAGGGUUUGCAACUUACUGUAUUUACACCUCUAUAAAACAUAACUCAGUCUGGUAGUACUUAUAACAAAGGAGAUUAUUUCUCACAAUUCUGGAGGCCCUAAAGUCCAGGAUCACAAGGCACUGGCAGAUUUGGUUUCUGGCAAGUGCUUUGUAGGGCCCAUUUCCCUACACAGUGGAAUAGGCAAAGCUGCUCCAAGGAGCCUCUUUUUAAAGGCACCAAUCCCCUUCACAAGAGCUUCACCUUCAUGAUCUAUUAUGCCCCCAAAGUCCCCACUCCUAUACUAUCACCAUGGAGUUAAAUUUUCAACAUGUGCACUUUCAGGAUCACAAGCAUUCAGAUCAUAUCAAUAGCCUCUUUUGAAUCUCACUCCUUCAAUUCUAAUCCUUUGUCCAGUAGGGUAAGGGAUAUCUGUGGUUCUCCAGUUGUUUAGGAUGAUUUUAUGGGAAGUGAGUAUAUUCCAAUGCUUCUACUCAUCUUUUCAAAGAGGUUCGUCAGUUUUGAUGUGUACAUGAAAACACGGGCUGUGCGGGCUGCAGUUGGUCAUCCCAUGAUGCGCUGGAUUUCAUAGCACCAGGUGCAGCUUCCACCUUUGUUCUUAGAGCCUUGCUUUAUUUUAUCCUCAGGAGUUCUAUAUGAUGUGUCUAUUAGAACUAUUUCCUUCCUAUCUUGUAAGAACUAAGGUAUAUUCUCUCUUGCUGCUCAUAUUUCUCUGAGUAGAAUCAUUAUAAUUUUCUGUUUCCUUUCUGCUUAAAUAGCUUUCCCCUGUGUUAUAUUGCCUUGAUGAAUACCAAGUUCUUAUACCUCCUUUUUGCAUAAACAUUGAGUUUCUCCAUUGUCAAAUGAAAAAUAUCCUUCAUCUUGCCUUGAAAAAACCUUCCAAAACCUCCAUUCCUGCCCUAUCCAUCUUCAUUUCCAGCUUCCCAUGAUACCCAUCUGCUUCCGCCUGGUUGGGUUCUUCUUUUUUGGAGUGUGUCUUUUUCUUACCCUGUGCCAAGCUUGUCUGAUUCCCCAUCAGGGAUGGCUUUUCACCCCUCUCCUUGCUCCCAUCAGUCCAAGUCUUCUUCUUCUUCUUUUAAUUGUUAAUUAACUUUAUUUUAUUCAUUUAUUUAUAUGAAGUGCUGAGAAUCAAACCCAGUGAGGCAAGCGCUCCACCACUGAGCUACAACUCCAGCCAUGUGUACUUUCUUCUUUAUAGGCCCUUUCCUGACUACUUAGGCUGAGUUUAAGCUCAUUCUUUUCUGAAUGAUACUGUAAUUUGCUUCCAAAAUUUUUCUUUUGCCUCAUAAUCGUCAACCUAGCCUAAUUUUCUUAUCUAUUCAUGAAGAUUACAGAUAUUGAAGAAUAUGAUCUGUAAUUUUGACUUUCCAUUCUUCUCUCCCAUUGAUUUUAGCAGAGACGUUUUCCCAUGGAAGGUGCUAAGUAAGCAUUUCUUGAGCAAAUGACCUGCAGCAUCUGUUGGUGAACUAUUCUAUAUCAAAUAUGGACACUUGCCUGUUGUCCAACAAACAGCUUGUCCUUUUUUUCCCAGCUGGAGGGGGUGAGACAGCAUGUGAGUACACAUUGCCCAUUCAGUUGAAUGCUUGGCAUACUUGGAAUUUGCUUGCUGUGGGGAGGUCACCUGGCCCUAGCUUUAGCUCCCUGACACUCUCAUUAGGUAUUUUAGAACACUUUGUCUACUAAUUCCCCUGUGGAAUAUUGUUCAUCAUUCUAUCUGUCUCCAUUAUGUGUUUAAUUUUUAACCAUACUUAUUAUCAGUAGGAAUUAUACCACAUACUUGAAUGACAAAAUGCUUAUAAUGUGUUUGUAAUAUAUAUAUAUAUGUAUAUACAUAUGUAUAUAUAUAUAUAUAUAUAUAUAUAUAUAUGCACUUGCAUUUGAACCUCAAAAUAAUCUUAUGAAAUAUAAGGAGCACAUGAUAUAACUGAUCCUCAGAAAGGAUAGAUGACGGUCAUAGUACAUACAGUUUUCUGGUGUUUUUAUCUAAUUUCAUGCUAUCAUCAGUAGAAACCUUAACAAAUUUUCAUUUGAUAGACAGGUUUUAUUUCUGUUAAGUAAUACUCUUCUCCUUCCAUCAUUUUUCCAUUAAAACUUCCAUUUUGUUCUGGCUUCCCAUGAAGCAGCUAUACCUUAGUGUAAUCCAUUCCUAGCCUCCAUGUUUCAUGAUGCAAAUCCCUUCUCUCACUGCUGAUGAUAUAGCAUAGAGUUGGACAAAUUUCUUCUAUGAAGAACCAGAGUGUAUACAUUUUAAGCUUUUCAGGCCCUAUGGUCUCUAUCAUAACCACUCAACUCCCGUAAUUGUAGUGUCAAAUCAGCAAAAGCACAGUACAUAAAUAAGUGAUGUGGCUGUGUUCCAACAAAACUUUUAUGAACUUUGAAAUUUGAAUUAUAUAUGUUUCAUAAAACAUUCCCUUUGGCUUCUUUUACAAUCAUUUAAAGAUGUCAAAAUCAUUCUCAGCUUACAGGCUUUACAAAUGCAGGUGGCCAGCCAGAUUUGUCCUGCUGACUAUAGUUUGUCAACACUUUAUAUAGUAUAUUUAUUAAAGGAGAGCCUAGAUAUAAACCAGGGUACUUUAAUUAGAAGCAAAACUGGCUUGAAUCCAGUUCUACCUGUGGAAUUUCAAAGCUGUUUCUAAGUUUCCUGUUUAGGGUAGACAGGCUCUUGUGGCUUCCCUUACCUUCUUCCUUAUGUCAGAGCCUUUCCUGUAAUUUGUGGAUCCUGCUAUGAAAUACAUCCCCUUAACUGAGUCCCCCCAAGUACACCCCCACCCACACAAGUCUUCUUGAGCAAAACUGACCUUACUGAGAAAUUGAGUGGAAGAUUUGUCACGAAAACCCAAGCAAUGUCUAGUAGAACUGUGAUGUCGCGCUUCUUAAAAUGUCAUUCUAUCACUUCACUGCUAUUUUUUUCCUUUUUUCCAACAAAUAAAGAAUAUAUCUUCUUUAAGAGAACUGAUCUAAGUUUUUACAAAAGUGGUACCUUUUCUGCCCUUUUGAAUGUUAGGUAUUGUGUUAGUCAGCUUUUCCUACUGUAAUCAAAAGUCCUGACAAGAAUAAUUAGAGGAUAAAAAUUUUAUUUGGUGAUCAUGGUUCCAGAGAUCUCAAUCCAUAGACAGCUGAGUGAAUUGCUCUGGGUCCAAGGUGAGACAGAACGUCAUGGUGGAGAAGUGUGGUGGAGGAAAGCAGCUCAGGACAUGGUACCGGGUAUCAGGGUGAGACUCCAUUCACCAGAGAUAAAAUAUAAACCCCAAGGUCACACCUCCAUUGACCUACCUCCUCAGUUAUACACUGCUUACCUUCAGUUACCACAUAGUUAAUCCCUGUCAGUGAAUUAAUGCACUGAUUAGGUUAAGACUCUCAUAACCCAAUAAUUUUACCUCUAAACUUUCUUUCAUUAUCUCACACAGGAGCUUUUGGGGAACAUCUCAUUUCUGAACCAUAACAGAUAUAUUCAUUUGUUCAUUUAUUCAACAUGUACUUUUUGAACAUCUACUACAGUGCUGUCCAAAGUAACUUUCUGUAGACAUAGAAAUAUUCCAUAUCUGGGCCAUCCAAUACAGUAUCCUCUAGCCGCAUGUAACCUUUGAGCAUUUAAAAUGUGGAGAGUGAAACUGAGGAAGUGAAUUUACACUAUAUUUAACUUCAGUUAAUUUACAUUUUGAUAGCCACAUUUGGCUAGUGCUGCCACAAUGGGCAACACAGAUCUAACGUGCAGGCCAGUAAGAUGCUGUAUGAGGCUCUGCUAAUUCUUGGUUCCUAAAACUUAGGACAAGGUUGGUACUGGCCCUCACUGCCACUGUGCCAGACUUAAUUAAAACUUUGCAGUUUAUCGUGGCUUUCUUAUAAUUAAUAACUCCAAGCUUUUAUGCUUCACAUCUGUCACGUAGCUGAGGUUAAUCUCUGGCUUUUACGAUUUUUUUUCUUUUCCACUUCAGUUGUACAUGAAUGCAAAGGUUCUUUUCCCCCAAGAGCACAUUCCUUAUUCCAAGCACAUCUUUAGCUAUGUGUUCAAAAGUUCUAUCAAUUCCAGCUGUUUUUUCACCAAGUAUAGAAACACAACAGCUGGCCUUUGUUUUAAAUGCCUCCCCAUGUGGGCUAAAUAUUUCAUCUUAUAUACCGUUUUGAUAUGUUGACAUGGGGAUGAACAAUAUGGAAACUAUCCUAUGGAAAUAUUGAUGCUUUGUAACCAAGAUGAUUGAUCCAGCCACAUUAGGAGGGAUGUGAAAUAGAGGGAGGAAAUUUCUCUGAAAUGUGCAUGGCCAUUUAAUUACUGUAGGCAAACAGUCUCUAAGGCUGUGCAGCCAGCUUUUGGAACUGUCACAAGAAUAAAAUUAACCUGUGUUGUAUAGCACAGUUGGAACCAUUGUUGCCAGGCCACUUGGUACAUCUUGCCAGAGGAUGUGAUAUUCAAAUAUGCAUGGGUCUUGGAAAAGCCUAGAUUUAUGACCCUAGCGGUCAUAAAUUUAGAGGCUAAAUUAGUGUUGGAAUUCACUAUAAAAUUGUGAGAAAAUGACAAGGUGUUGUCUAAGAGGUCUGGUAUGUUAAGAAGACUAACUAGCUCCAGGCUUCCCUAGAUACUUGAUUCACUUAGCAAGUGGUAGAUGUAUAGAGUUCUAGAAUUCUUCAAGACAAGAGAUAAUGAUAAAUCCUCUCCAGAUUAGAAGACAGAUUAAUUAUAAAACAUCUAGUUUGGGGUUGGAGGUGUUGUUCAGUGGUAGAGCAUUUGCCAAGCAUGUGCAGGGCCCUGGGUCUGAUCCUCAGCAAUGAAAAAUUAAUCUAGUUUGGAUCUUAUCAUAAUUAUAUGAUUAUAUGUCACUUAACAAUUAUUAAUUCCCUUUGUUCCCUGAAUUUUGAGGCUUCCAUCCCUAAGGAGGAGCCAUGUCCAAAGAAGUCCUCUCCCAGGCACUAUGACCAGCCCACAUACUUCCAAGGAAUGGAGGUGCCCUGAAAGAACUGAGAGGCAGGGCAGAGGUGAGUACUAAAUGCCAUUUAUCAGUGUCACAAGCAUGAUAAAUGCAGUCCUCCACUGUAAGCAGGGAAAAACUCAGAAACAAGAAAUUCUUACAGAGAAUGAUCAGGAAAGAUGAGCUCAAAUUAAAAAAACACUAAAGAAAAAAGAAAUAAAUCACCAAAUCAAGAGUUCCGACUCAACAAAAUGAAGAAUUUGAGGCUAGAUAGAAAAGAAUAAAUAUGUUUAAUGGACAUAAAGAAAUAUUUAGAAGUAUUAAGAAAUGAAGAGGACCAAGAUAUGUACAAAAUGACCAGGAAAGUUAAAAUAAAGCCUGUCAAAUAGAGAAAUAUGUAAUGAUUGCAAUGGAUAACUUAAUAGCAGUUAGACCUAGCUGAAAGGAGAUUUGUGAAUGAUAAAUUAGGAUCUAAAAGAAUUAUAUAAAGUAAAUGAUAAACAAGAUAAAAUGUUUUUUAAAAAGUUUAGUGUAAGGAGGUUUAACAAUAUUCAAUUUAUAGUUUAAGAAGGCAACAGAAUGGAGGAAAAAUGAUAUUCAAGAACAUACUGAAAUUUUUCCAAUAUUGUAGGAGGGCGUAAAUUCUCAGGUCCAGAAAACACAAACAAAUCUAAUAUGAGAAAAAUAAAAAUAGUUUUUACUUAUAUCCAUUGAUAUGAAAGGACUCACAGAAGUUUAUAAAAUGAUCUAUGAGGAUCCAAAGAUAAAUUAUAGUAAAACUAGAAAAACAGGCAACUUCUCAACACAAUCAAUGAAUGCUAGCUAACAGUAGAAAACAGUGAAAUAGUAUCUUUAAAGUGAUGAGAGAAAAUAACUAUCAACUUAGAAUAGCAUGCUCACAGAAACUCUUUUUUAGAGCGAGCAACAUAAAUAAAUUUCAGACAAAGCCAAGAAUAUCCAUUAUAAGUUAUCUACGUACUCUAAAAAUAAAUAACAUACAAAGUAUAACUUAAAGAGUUACACAUCAUCCUCAGUGGACAUAUAUUGUGUCCAUAAUCAGAAAGCAAAACUGCUACUCAUGUGUAAGACUGUGAGUAAAGGAUGCUUUAGAGAAAAGAGACAAAAGGUGCUCUCCCAUUUUAGAGUGAUGAGACCAGUGACUAGCACAGGACCUGGUAGAGGACAGAUGGUUGCUUGUCUGCAGACAGAAUAUGUAUCUUCAUUUACUUUUUUUCUAUUUGACACUUCCCUUUUCAGCACCCAUGUUAGCAUGUCAUUUUCAAAAGCCACCAAAUAUAUCAAGGUGUUGUUUAUCUACUAAUGGCUAAACUGGCUUAUCUCAGGUUAGGAAUUAAUAAGUGUUAUUUUAAAUAAACCUAGUGUCAGUUUACUUUGAAAGAUUGCUAAUAGUGCAGUAGGCAAGAGAGACUUCAAAUGCCAAUCCAUAGGUAACAACUUAUGUCUAAUUUUAUGAGCGUCAAUAAAUAUCCAAGAUAUUAUAGUUUUGAGAAUUCUCCUUUGCUGUGGGAACAAAUUAUUUUAAACUACAUUUUGGCCCAAGCUCAAAUAACACUUCAAAGAGCAAGGGAUAGUGUGGUAAAACAAUUGCUGCCUGGUGAUCUGAAGAAUUGGGUUCUAGCCCAGCUGCUCUUUGGCUUCACCCUGAUCACCUGACACAGUGUGUUAGUCAACUUUCCCUCACUAUAACAAAAUAGCUGAGAUGAUUAACUUUUGAAAAAGAGAGGUUUUAUUUUGGCUCACAGUUUUGGACAUUCUAGUCGAUGACUGAUUGGGCAACACAUUAUGGCAAAAGCUUGUGGCAGGAGCAAAACCACUCAUCAGGAGCAGGGAGCAAAAAGAGGAAGAAGAAGGGUCCAGGGUUCCACAAUCCCCUUUAAGGAUAUACCUCCAAUAACCUAAAGACCUCCCACUAGGCCUUACCUCUUAAAGCUUCCCUCACCUCCUAAUAUCAUCACCCUGGGGACCAAGCUCUAACACAUGGGGCUCUGGGGUAUACUGAAGAUCCAAACUAUAAUACAUAGAUUCUUAAUUUCCAUCUGUGAACUAUGGGUCUUGAACUAAGUCAUCUUCAAAGGAUAUAGGACUGUUACCAUUCUGUAUUUUACUACAAGAAUAAUUUUUAAAACAGACCUAUUGUUCACACCAACAAAAAAGCUAUAAUAAUACCUUUAACUGUGUCUUCAGAAACAUUAUGGAGGGGGGUCCUUGAGUCUCACUAUUAUCUGAGUGCACUAUCAGGGCUGAUUUAACCUUUAAACACAGUGGGCACUAUGGCCCAUGAUACUUAUAGGGGUCCAUAGAAAUUUUUUAAUUGUAGUUGAUUUUAAAAAUCAGAAGAAAAAAUAUGAACAUAAUAAUAAUGAAUACAGUUGAUAAAUAUGCAGGCUAGAUUACAUUUCAUACCAACUCAGUCAUAAAAUUUGAUUUUUAUGACUUUUUAAUGGAGAAAAAUGCCUAUGGGUCAUAAUGCAGCUCUAUCUACUGUCCUGAUGUAGAGGAAUUUAUAAAACUUCAGAUUUGAUGAAAACUAGCUGAGUCUGUAAGGGUCUCUGCAUUCUAGGACCAGUAGUUGGUACUUGGUGGCUACAUGUAGAUAUAAAGUUACAUUUUGAGAGUAAAACUAGUAAAAUGAACAUGAUGAAUGAGACCAAUAAUUUACAAAAAUGACUUUAAAAUAUAUGAAGUCUCCUGGGAAGAGUAAAGUUGGGAUAUCCAUGAUAGAGCUGUAACCAUUAUUGAGCAUCUAUGAUGUGCCAGGUGCUACACUGUGUGGUAUGGGCACAUUCGUGCUUAGUCUCUAACACAGCCUUGUGAGUUAGCAUUAUCAUGAACCCAUGUAUAGAAGGAUUUGAGGCAUGAAAACAUUAGGUUAACUGACUUAACGUCACCUGUUUGGUAAAGUGGUAGAAAGAGGGUUUGAGCAUAGAGUUUUAUUUGGAAGAUUGCAAAGAUGCCCCCAACAAAAGCCCCACCCCUGUGGAAGCACACUAAUGCCUCUGUGGCGUUAGCAGAGCUCAGCGAGGCUGGGCAGGACAGCAUGGCACUGAGGGAGGAAGAGCAGAGACAAGGUGGCUCCAGGUGGAUUACACCUAACCAUGAACACCAAAAGUCAAGGCUGAUGGAAGAAAUUGUAAACUUUUUUACAGCCAUAUUAGAUACAAACCUCUUCAGACACUCACCAUUCAAAUCCUCUUAACUCUGCAAAUCAGCAUGAUUUCCAGGUAAAUCACUGUCAAUGGGCUUUCAUGAGGAACAUCUGAAAAAAAUUUGUAUUAAUAAUAGACUGACAGUUGUAGAAAUAAAAUCCAAGUUUCCAAUGGUUGCUGUGUAAGAGAUCGAAAAACGUUGAAAUUGGUGAUUAAGAAUAUGAACAAGUGACCAUUCCCACAGACUGAUGGGAGUCACAAAAGAGAGGAUCAUCUGGUGACGAGAUGUCAGGACUGAAGUGGAGAAGAAAGAAACAAACAAGAAGACUGCCUUUCGCCAUGCUGCUAAGGGUUCUAAGAGUCCUAGCAAGAUCACAUUGGAAGCUAUAAACACUGUGCAUAGUGUUUAUAGUUUUUAGUAACUAAUUAUACACAAGUUAAUUCAGAGUAAUUUGUUUAUAGCUCUUAAUUCAUAUGGUCUUCAUGAAGUUAUUCUGUUUGUUAUUAUUCCUUUUGUGAACUUUAUUAAGGAUUGAAUUAAUGAGAUUCUCCAGAAUUAAUGUCUAUAUCAAAUUGACCUUGAUUGGUGUAUUUACCAUGCUUUUUAUUUCUCUGAUGCUUUGACGUCUUAUGACUUUGCUGCCCCUGGAGGAAUGCCCUUCUCAAAGUUGGCGCAUUUCAAGAGAUAAAAAACUACUCAGCCAUGAGUGUGUCAAUCACCUCAAAGUGUAUACCCCUACCACCAACCAUUUCUUUUAUUUGCUGUCUCACUCUUGGCCACUAUGCACCUGCCCUAAUCACCUCAGAGUUAAGCAGCAGACAGCAGGGAACAGUUCCUAUACCCCAGAGCCCUGGGAACUUCUUCAAACUAGUCCAUUGUAGGCAUGCUGACCCUGCCUCACCAGUUCCUCCCCACAAUAAAGGCUCUUGUCCACAUUUCCUCCCCAGCUCCUCUGCCUCCUAAACGACUUAGAUGCCUCCCCAUCUUUACUUCCCCAUAGCAUGGUGUGCCCCCUUCUCAUUGGAUCUCCAAAAAUAUCAAUCUACCUUUUCUCUUUUAUGGUGCUAGGGAUGGAUGCAACUCAGGGCCUCACCCAUCCUAGGCAAUUGUGCUAAUACUACCCCAAGCACAUGGUCUAGCUUUUCCAUCACAGUUGUCUCCUGGUUUGUGAGCCUUGACAUACCUAGAUAAUAACCUAUAUUGCAAAGUAAAUAGUAAUUAUCUCUAAGAUACUGGCAGGAAAACUAAGUUAGAUAGAAACUCUCUUCACUGUAUUAGAACCUCUCUUUCACUGUCAGCUUGGGUUGCCAUAAUAAAAUACCUUCAGUCCUCAAUAUACUAUAGCUCUUAAUUCAUAUGGUCUUAAUUCAUAUACAAUAAACCAUUAUUGGUUUGCAAGUUUGACUUUCAAUGGUAUGAAAGUGAUACUCAUUCAGUAGAAACUGUACUUGGAAUUUUGAAGCUGAUCUUUUCCCAAGAUACUGAUACAGGGUUGGGGCUGGACUGAAACCCAGGUCUGCGCCCCCGAACUAUGCCCCGGAUACUGUAUAUCCUCUAGUGUAAUAAAGGGGAUUCCCCCAUGUAUUACUACACAGAGACCUGUGUGACUUAGAUUUCCAGCUCUGGACUCCCUUUGUUUCAAUUACAUGCUUGUCUAGAAGCUUCUGAGGCCUUCCCAAGAUCCUGAUAGAGAGUUUCUCUGUGUGGCAGUGUCUGACCAGUCAUUAGAAAGGAAUAUUCCUGACCACUUAUCCCAGGAUUAAUAAAUUGGUAUUGCAUCCAGUACCUUAGGAAUUUUUGCUUUGCUUUUUUUUUUUUUAAUCACUCAAGCCUAAUAAUAAUUGAGGGAAUACUAAAAAAUUUAGUUCCUGACCCUGGAAAUCUCAUGUGCAGGCCUUGGCUAUAGUGACCAUAACAAUGAACCACCUCAUUAUGCAUUGCCCUCCAUCCUGGCCAGUCUUUCUGUCUCACCCCUUUUGGCCUGUCUCAGGCACCAUGGAAUUCUUCUGACAAGGUCCCAAUUGAUUUUGCCACCUAUGUUAUUAUAUGGACUUAAUGUGGAUCUGUGUUAAUAUUCUUUCUGACAUUGAAAUAAAUUAUCUGAACAGCUAUGCCUUUCAUUCCAAUGAAAAGUAUUAAAUGUGGGCAUUAUUCUUGAUUUUUUUAUGAUUUUAAAUUUCUCAGUAUUAUUCAUAGGAAACCAGGGAUUCGUUUCUGAGUAAAGAAAAGUGGGAUUAAGGGAGAUUUCUUUAGAAAUCCUGUAACUGCUUGGGAAGAAAUCUUGGUGUUGGUAGGACAUCCCUUAUCCAACAUACUUUGAACUAGAAGAGUUUCUGAUUUCUGAUUUUCAUAGUAGAAAAUUCCAAGCAUGUUGCAAAGGGACCACUAGGUAAGCACAUUAGCAGAGAUAAAAGGCAGACAGAUGCCAAUCAAGAGAAUGGGGGAUAAGACCCUCCAAACAGGGGUCAGAGGGCUAGGAAGGCAGAAUGAAUCUAGGAAACCAGCUCAGUGUGCUUUCCAUGGACUUUUAUUUUUUUUCCCCUGAAGCACAACUAUUUCAUUUCUCUGAUUGUACAUGAUGCAGCAUCACACCAUAUGUGCAGUCACACAUGUACCUAGGGUAAUACUGUCCAUCACAUUAAACCAUCUUUCUGUCCCCAUGACCCCUCUCCCCACCUUUGCCCAAAGUUCCUCCAUUUUUCCCAUGCUCUCCCCCAUUAUGGCACCACUGGAUAGCAUUAGCAUUUAAAUAAAGCUAGGCUUGGUGCCAGUUUUCAGAGAAGGUUUUCUGUCCUUUUUGAGGGGGAACGGGAAAGCCUUCUUUGUCAGUUGGUCCCAACACUGCCUGGCAAUGGUAGGGAUUACAUAAUAUUUGUAGAAUGAAUAUUCAUUUGCCUCUGUGGGCAAAUGAAGGGAAAAGUCCUCAUCCAAUCUAUUAUAGAAGCUAACUGCAUUGCCCCCCAAUCUAUUAUUAUUACUAUUUGCAGUACUGGGGAUGGAACUCACAUGCUACGUGGUAAGCACUCAACCACGGAGCCACACUCCUAGCCCUUGUACUCAAAUUUAAAUGAAUUUUAAAAUCCGAUAUUUUUGCAGAUAGAAAUGGAAAUUAUGUCACCUUUAUAAAGUUAACCUUUUACUGGAAGGUUUCUUAAAGUCCAGACACUGGUUUAUCUGGAAUAACACAGAAAAAGUAUACAUAAUCACAACUUUUGAUUUCUUUUUCUCAGUGCUCCACCUUGAGUUUCAGCCACACAUCAUGGUUUCUUGUUCCUAAAUUAUCAUCCUGGUUAUGCCGUGACACAAACUGGCCCCUCUGCUUGGAAAGCCCUUGCCCACACUCCACCUGCUGAAAUUCUACUCUGAUUUCCAUGCUCAUUCCAAGAACCAACACUCUCAUGGCAUUUCCAUUCAUCAGAAUUGAUCUUUCCAUGGUGUCUUCCCACAGAUUCUGUUUUUUUUUUUUUUUUUUGUAGAGAACACAUUUCCUACUUCCUAAUUAUAAGCUCCAUGAGUAAAAGGACCAGAGCUAGACUCUGUACUUCCUAGUGUUCUCAGCCUAAUAACUUGCCUUACAGAGAAUAUUCUCACCUUUUCUCCCUGAGUACCACUUCUAGCAGAGGAACACGGGCCUUUGGAUUGCUUUGAGAUGGAAUUUCUUUGAAACUGUGCUUUAUCUUAGAAAUUCAUGUGAAUUUUACAGUGAACUCCAUCCUUUUCUAGUAGUAAUUCAAUGUAAAAAUGCUUGAAUGGAAGGCCAGUCAUCAUGGUGUAUGCCUAUAAUUCCAUGUACUUGAGAGGUUGAGACAGGAGGAUAGUGAAUGCAAGGUCAGCCUGGGAAACAUGGUGAGACCCCAUCUCAAAAAAAAAAAAGACUCCUUUGUAAAACUUAUAUUUCAGAAACUGCCACUGUUUAUGCUUUAAUUAGUUAGAUCUCCUAGCUAUGACCCUGGGGAUACACAGUCUUAGUUGAAGCUUUAAAAUGUUUAUUGAACAGAAUUAAACAAAUGUAAUAUAAAGUGAAGUGUUUGUUCCAAAUACCAAAUAAUUGAGAAAAUAGAGUCAAGUUAUAUAGAGGCAGCUUAUCUCCAAGAAGAAGCCUAGAAUAACAUUUCAGAGAAUUAUUUAAACUAGCACAAGACCCCUGGCAAGCUUUGUACUCAAUGGUUGCUGAUGUGUCCUUCUUCCUCCUCCAGUUUUCACAUUCUACCUGUGAAAUGCAGGGCAGUCAAUUGCCCUAAAACACUGCCUCUCCAAAGGAGAAGUGCCCCUUGGUUCCUACUUGUGAAGAUAUUUUAGCCUAUGAGUUUUUGGAUUCAUGUUUAUUUUCAUGAUUGCAUUAGGGAAAAAAUGCUUUAUAUGCUUUUAGCUGACACCUAGUAUUAAUAUCUUGCUGUGGAAGAAAUAUAAUUCAGUUUUAAUGAAUGUGCCUAAUAAAGAUAUUUUAAAUGGACUGGAGAAAUACCAGAUUCAUAAAAAGCCUUAGGAAAUAGGUAAAUUGCUGAAUUUGAAUGUAAAUAAAUAAAAGAUCCUUGAAUGUUACCCUCUGCUAAAAUAGAUACUGAUGUUAAGGGACUUGAAGAAAUAAUUUCUUUAACUACAUCCUUAUGGCCCAUAAGAUGCUAAAUUCCUCCCCAAAUAAAUAUCUCUAUGAUAACAUAAUAGUCAUGGAAGCCAGCGUAACAAAGAACUCUGUGGACUCUGUAUGGGCCAAUGCAUUCAUGCAAAACAAACAAACAAAAACAGGUGCUCUUCAUUUUAACUUUUAACAAUAGUCUGAUUGAUAAUGGCAAGUUAGCCAUCUACCUGAGCACAGAUGUGACUUCUGUCCUUGCAUCCUUCCUGUAUCCUGGCAAGAGUCAUAUUAAUAUGUGUUGAAUGAAGAAGGGACGUAGACCUCAUGAUGGAAUUUUCUCUCUCUGUAGGAGUACCUCUCCCACACCUCUAAAAUUCUUUGCAUAAUACAGCCUGGUGUCCUGGAACCAGGUGUGAAAACAAUACUUUUAUAUAUUUUUCUCUCCUUGAAUAUUUGUUUAUGUUCCUCCUUUCUUAGCUGCUGACAAAACCAACAAAGAGACAGGAUUUUCUCCAGUCUAGCUUUGACAUUGUAAUGGAAUGCCCUUGCUUCUGUGGCCCCUUUCUUAAUGUUUAUCUAACUGCACUGUUCCUUGCAUGGGGGGCUCUCUGGAACAGCCAUUCUGUCAUUUAGGGCUUGGCUGUCUUUCUCACAUCUCCCUGAUUCCGAGUAUUUUCUGUUGCACUUGGGCUGAAAUUGUGUAUAUGCAGUAAAAUCACUGAACUGAGGAAGAGCUGCCCGCCUGCUGCUCCCACAAGGCACACCGUAUCCGGAAGGGCAACUCAUCAUGGAUGCGAUGAUAUUUCAGUCACGCUGUGACGGUGGCACACAGGUUUAAUCAACUUCGCCACAGAUGCAAUUCACAGUGGAUCCCGUUUGUUUCCCUUAUUAUCAGAAUGAAUACACACAGGAAGCUCAUUUAGCUCCCGCCAUUCCUCAUUUUACCCUCGUGAUAAUCAUUGAUUUUAUUUUCCUGGGUCAGAAAUGAUGAAAUCAAUAUCUAACACGGCAAGUGAUAGUUGCUCACACCUUUUUUAAAAUUUGAAUUCUUUCACAAAUUUUAAACAUUUUACCUUGCAUGUAUUUUAAGGAUUAAGUUUGUGAGCUUAUAGAUUUAAAUGUCAAUAAAGGUAGGAGGAAUAAUCAUGCAUUGAAACUAGCUGCAUUAAAUUUUAAAGUGAGAGCAGUUAUUAUGAGACCUCAAAUGUGGAGGUAUUACAUUACGUAAUUGUUAUGAUCCACUAACUCAUUCAUGUGGUAAUUUUCUCAUUAUUCAUUUGACAUAUAGUAAUGUAGCAGUUAGUAUUUUUUAGAGAGCUUAAAACGUUAGGUAUUGACAUAUAAAAAUGUUCUUAAACUGUCAAACUUUAUAAAAAUAUUUUAUCUGAAUUUUUUUUUGUUUCAAUUAAUUUGUUCAUUCUCAAAAUGUUAGACACGCUGUGUGGGAGCCAAGCCCUGUGCUAAGGACUGUGGAUUCACAGACCAAAAAGAACUAGUCCCUCCUCUCCAGGAACCAGAAACAGAGAAAGGGAGAAAGAAGCAGACAGAGAAAAGGAGAGAAUUGAUAAGGAAGUAAAAAAUGAAGUUAACUCAUCCAUGGAGAUCUAAUGGGGGGUCUCAUGCCCCCUGGGUGCCAUAGAGAGCAGAGGAGGCAGAAACCAGAGAGAAAUGUCAGCUCUGAAAUGACUCAAGGUACUUAGGAAUGUUGAAAAAUCACGGUUCCUGGGACAGGGAUAGUAAGUGACCAAAAAACUUGCGGAAGAAGCAAGACAUAAAAGGCUAUCCAGACCAUUCUCUGGUGCCUGGAUUUCAUCCUUAUAUCAUGGGAAAUCCCUGGCAAUAUUUAUGCUAAACAACUGUGUGUCAAACCAGAACUUUUUACCCUGUACCAUAGUCUAUUGUGUUACUGAAUGAAGUUCAUUCAUAGUAAUGAGAAGUCAAUGGUAGUACAGAAGAUCCUACUGAUUUCCAAAGAUCCUCCUUAUCAUGUCCAUCACUAGCUCUGAGCAUGAUGAGUGCUAUUUUAGACUCAGAAGACGUGGGUAUAAUUGCCAUCCAGUAACUCUGUAGCCUUGGGUAGCCUGGUUGAUUUCUCUGAGAUGCCAUUUCCUUAUCAAAUAGGCAUGAUGAGACCAUACUCCUAAAUUGUCUCACAGGCCUGUGAUGAGAAUCAGAUAAAGUGAUGUACAUGAAUCAGUUUUAAGACAGUGAAGCAUGACACAUGAAGAAGGUGUUAUUAUCAUCAUCACCAUUAUUAAUAAUAGUAUUUAAGAGAUAGGUGAACCUGAAUUACUUGGCAAUUAAUAAUCAGAAACAGUUUUCUCAGAGAUUUUAAAAAGAUUUGAGCUCAGAAUUUUGCCGUGUUGAAGGACAUGGCCCAAAAGCACACUCAAAGUAAAUACAAAAUCCCAGCUCUGUCACUAGUUGGCUGAGGACAUUGGUCAAGGUAUUGAAAAUGCAGGUCCUCUGGUUUCCUUAUCCAUCACAUGGAAAUAUCAACAGUGCUUCCCUAAUAGGAUUGUUGUGAGAUAUGAGUCUACAUUUGUGCUCAGCACACUGGUACAGAGUAGGCAUUCCAAAAAUGCUAGCUAUUGUUACAGAGGAACGAUGAUUAGACUGAAUAGACAGACUCAUAGAUGUCACUGGCAACAAUGAAUAACAGAAGGUAAGGCACUACUAUUUUUAACGUACUAAAGGAACAAUAAGUAUCAACCUGAAAUUUUAUUAACUCUAGAUAAAUUAUUAAUCAAGGUUGAGAUGAAAGAUAUUUUCAGACCAAAAUCAAAAGUGUUUACAAACACUUUACAAGUCCUAAAAAGGUUUGAAUUCAUAAGGCUGAGUUAUAGGAAACAAAAUUCAUCAUAAAGAGAUAAAAAUAAGCAUUAAUUAGCAAUUGACUAUGCCACUUCCACUAUUUUUUGUGUUGAAAAAAGUUUUAAUUUAAAUUUGAUAAAAAAAAGGAAGGAAGGAAUUAAUCAAUGGGCUGAAAUAUGGUCUGCGUCUAAUCAAGGACGAAUAUUAAAACACUGAAAAACUUUUUAAACAUUGUUAGAAAAAUAUAGACUUAAAUAUUCCUAUUUUAAAAUUAAGAAUAAUUUUCAUUGCAUAAAAUAUAAUAUACAGCUUCCAAAUUGUCAGGGGGGAAACUGGAAGGAAAAAAAUAAGCGUAAACAGAAAAUACAAUAGAAUGAUAGAAACAAGAUAUCAUUGUUUGCAAUAGCAUAAGACAAUAAACAAUAUAGAAAUCACCAAAAGGAGAAUAGACCAAUGAAUGUUUGUUCAAUUGUUCAAUGGUAAGCAACAGAUUAUGUCAUGUGAAUGAGCUGUAAUAUCUAUUAGUGGUCUGUAGUUGGAAGAAAAAGCAAGUUGAAAGGCCUACACUUGGUAUGAUAAAAUUUAUCUAAAUUUCUAAAGUCUGAAAAAAUGGGAGGAGAAGGGGAAAGGAGAAGUGAAAUUAACCAAAACUCAACAAACUUGUAUAAAAGUAAUACUUUCAUAAUCAAUUGGUAAUUUUUUGUCAUAAUUUCUCAGACUUUCCUCUUUUCAUGAAAGUUUAAAUGAUUUUGUAAUUCUCUGAUUAUUUCACAUUCUUGGGGGGUUUUGUUUUUCAGGGUUUUUUUUUUCUUCUUAUUUCCAAUUCUUUUAAACCAAAUAAGUCAGCCCUGCUCAGACAUGGGCACAUUUCGUUCUCUCUCAUAGCUCUUCAACAAGAGGGGAAAUUGCUGAAUUUAACUAAUAAUAAUUACCUCUACAUUCCAGGGAAUGCUGUUUCCUUUCAUUUUAAAUCCGCCAAAUCCUUGGCCUCACUAUCAAUGCAGUACUGAGAUGCCAACUCAAUCAUAAACUCAGAAUUAUUCAAGCAUGGCUUUAGCUUAAUUGCAAAUCAUACAUUUUCAAAUUGUAAUCUAAUUGGACAGCCACUAACUAUCCAAAAAUAUUAGAUUAAUUAUUCCGUGAUUGUUGCUUUUCUUAAAAAAAGGAUCAUUUUUUUCCUCACAGUUCUGAUUACCUACCUGUUUAGUGAGUAGUAUAAUUGAUUAGUGAUUUCCUAACUCCCCAUUUAGGUUCACUUUUGGGACAGUCUAUUUUCAAAUAGUUCAGAGAAGGUCCAAACUGGAAAAAGAAGGGUUUUAGAAAGACCUGUUUAAGCCCAUUUAACAAAUGAGGAAAUUAAGUUCGAGAAACAAAAUUAACUAUCAAAAGUCACAAAUCAGUAAAGGGUACUGUUAGACUAAAGUUCAUCUCUCUUGGUCUACACUUUUAAUAAUCAUCGUGUUUUCUUUGUUUGUUUUGCAAUACUAGGGAUUGAACCCAAAGCCUGCCUCAUGCAUGCUGGGCAAGUACUUCACCUCCAAGCCAAUCCAUUGCAAAUUUUUAAGGCACUUCAGAAACAUGGGUACUGAGGAAGCAGGGAAUACCAACACAGUUUGGUCCUUCUAUCUUCUCUGAUGUGUUCUUCCAUAUGGCUCAUGUCAGAAGAACUGAGACAGUUGGAAAAUAGAGAAUAUUGAAUGUAGUUUUUUGUAAAGUGCAAUAUACAUUUAUUAAGCAUUCAAUAAAUGUUACAUAAAUGACUUAUUUUAUACUUACAGGAAAUUAAGGCCAAAUACCCUUUCAAUCAUUGUGGCAAUAUUGUUUUAAAACUGAAUGUUUGAUAGUUUUAAGUGAUCAGAUUUCCUGAAAGAAUCCAAUGUCCAUAUCAUAUGUUUAUUUUUAAUAAUCCAGCAUUUUGUCAUUGAAACUUCUCGUGAUUUUCUGCUAUCCAAAUCAAAUACAAAAAGAAAAUAAAAGAUUUCUCAGGUAAGUUAUAAAGAAUAAGUUCAAGUUCUGAACUUGAUCUGAUUGGGUCUAGGAACUGACUUAAUGAAACACCAGAGGAAGAAAAAGAGGUUUUAAAAUUGAAAAAUUUCCAAGUGAGGACAGAGAAAAUAGUAUUUAUAAUUUCUAAUUUAAAAAGUUAAAGAUUAAUUUUUAAAACAAGCUAUAUAAGUGGUAGAAAUACCUGCUUAGAAGGGCAUGGUCAUUGGUUCAAUCCUCAGUACCCCCCAACACCCUCCAAAAAUGUAACGUGGAAUUCCAGUGCUGGCCAAGAUGGAGUAAACCUCCUAUGAUUUGUCUCUUACUAUUAUAACUAAAAUGUAGACAGACUAAAAAAGGUGACCACCUGAGGACUCUGAAAAGCAAACAACAAAAGGCAAUUAAACAAGGAAGCCGCAACCUGAAACACAGGCCUCCAGCACAAUGGUGAGUUUCCAAUAUUUCUCCCCCUUUUAUGGCAGCUUUGACUUGAGGGUGAGCCAAGAAGUCUGGGAACAGUGCAGUAGGUGUGAACAAGGAACUUAACUGCUCUUUCUAGCCAAAGGAAUGGGUGGAGGGUGGGCAGAUCUAGCUGGAGAGUAUAGAGGAUUCCCCUCUGUAAUGAAUUGAAUGUCUGGGUUCUCCCAAAUUCAUAUCCUGAAAUCCUAACCCCCACAUUAGGAGGCAGGUAUUAGAUCAUGAGGGCAAAGCCCUCAUGAUUGGGAUUAGUGUCCUUGUAAAACAAGCCCCAGAGAGUUGAUCCUUCCACUAUGGGAGGAUGCAAUGAGAAAUCUAUAUUCUGCAACUCCAAAGAGGACCCUCAUCAGAAACCAACUAUGUUGACAUCCUGAUCUUAAACUUCCAGUUUUCAGAACUGUGAGAAAUAAAGUUUUAUUGUUUUUAAGCCAUUUAGAAAUUAUUAUUCCUUAUAACAAGAUAAGAUAUUCUUGUCUCCCCUGUUUUUCUCACUGUCUCAAAGCCAACCCAAACAGUGCAUUUGAAAAUGCACAAUGAAGCUAAGCAAAAAACUUGAGGAUCCAACUAUGAUCUGCUCUUUACUGUCCAGGUCCCAAUCAGACUUCUCAGUGGUUCAUGCACAUGGGCUUUGAAUGUGGGAAUCACCACCCACAAAUAAUAAAACAAACUCACUAAAUGAUUCUGUGUCCAUCACCUGAUUUCAAGAUUUACUAUAAAGUUACAGAAGUCAAGAUAGUGUGAUAUUAGCAAAAUGUAGACCCAUGGAACAGAACAAAGAGCUCAUAAAUAGAUCCAUUGAAAUAUGGUUAGUUGAUUUUUGGCAAUGCUAUAAAGACAGGUCAAUGGAGAAAGAAUAGUCUUUUCAGCUGGAACAACUGGGCAGUCACAUGCAUAAGUAUGGACGUUGAAGUAAUAAACCUUCUGCAGAAAUUAAUCUCAAAUUGAUUAUAAACCUAAACAUAAAAUUGGACACAAUAAAACUUUCAGUAGAAAACAUAGGAGAAAAUCUUUAUGACCUUGAGUGGGGAAAGAGAUCUUAGAUAUGCUUUUCAAAAGCAUAACUAUAAAAGAAAACAUUGGUCAAUGGGGCUUUGUCAGAAUUUAAAAACAUUUGCUCCAUAAAAAAAUAAAGUUUUUUUCCUUCUCUUUCCAUGGCUAAAUGUUUGUGUUCCCCCAAAUUCAUAUGUUAUUAUGGUCUGAGACUAAUCAAUAUAGAUUAUAAAUUAUAGAUUAUAUAUAUAUAUAUAUAUAUGAUAUUUAAGCAGAAAAGUAAGAUAAGAUAAAAUAAGAUAAUAGAAAUGAGUACUAUAAGCAAUGUUAAACUGCCUUAGUAAUAAGUUAGAAGUAAGCAUAGAACAUAAGUUCAUCAGGAGUAAGCAUAAGUAACACAGGAUAAUCAACUGUAAGACAUAGGAUCUAACCUACAGGAAAUAAGAUAUAAAACAAUGUAGGUUGAUAAGUAUACAUCAGUAGGCCAGUAUAGUUAUAGAUAAAUAUAAGGCUAAUAGGUUAACAUAGAAAUAGUUAAGGUUAAAUCAAUAUGGCCAAAGACAAAUAUAGCUUGAUAUAGCCAUAGUGAUCCAUUUUUAUGACUCUCAUGUGAAACUGACAUAUAACUUGUUUUUAAGAUGUUAAAAAAAUUGUUUUUCUCUGUUUCAUACACCCAUACUCGAACCCAGGAUGUAGACCCACAAAUGUGCUCUAACCCAGGAUGUGGUUGUGUGCUCUCGCUCUGCUAACUGCUUUCUCAGUGCUUGUAACCUGCUUGCUUGCAACUUGCAGAUUCCAUAGGAUGUGGUUUUCUUCCUUAAAUACUCUGGCUAUAGACAAUUCGGGGCUGUUCUCCCAUAGGGUCACUUGGACUCGGUGAGGGACAGUCUCUGGCCAGAUAAUAAAAGACUCUCAAAUUUGCCUUAAAUUCAGAUUUAGAAUGUUUUCUGAGCAGUUGCCCCAUAACAAUGUUGAAAUCCUAACACCCAAGUGAUGGCAUUAGGAGAUGGGGUACUUUGGAGGUACCAUUAAGAGAAUGAAAAGAAAUGCCACAGACUGAGAGAAAAUAUUUACAAAUCACAUAUAUGACAAUAUAUUUGUACCCAGACUAUAUAUACAUAAAAAAGAAAACUUAAUGCUCCACUAAAGAAAGCAAAAAACUAAAAAAAAGGCAGGGGGGCAAUUUGAAUAGAUACUUCACCAAAGAAGACAGAUGAAUAGACAUCUGAAAACAUACUUCAUAAUAAUUGUUUAUUAGAAAAAUUCAAAUUGAAAACACAAUGAAAUACUAUUAUGCUCCUAUUAGGAUGGCAAAAAAAAAAGUUUUUGAACAAUAUUAAGUGUUAGCAAAGGUAAAGAACAGGUGGUAAUGUUAUAUAUUGUGGUAGUCACACCAAAAAAUAGUUUGCCAGUUUCUUAUGAAACUAGACCUGCAAUAACUGUUCAUCUCAGCAAACCUACUCCUGGGUAUUUUACCCAAGAGAAAUGAAACUUAAGUUCACACAAAAAUCUGUGCUGCUAUAUAACAAAAUAUCUGAGACUGACUGAUAUAUAAAGAACGAAAGAUAGUUUCUGACAGUUCUGGAAGCUGAUAAGUCCAAGAGGUUUGGUCUGGUGAGGACCCUGUCUGCUUCCAGGAUGGUGCCUCAUGCCUGCAUCCUUAAAGGGGGUGAAUGUUGUGUCUUCAUGUAGUAGGACUGCAUAAAGACCAAGCCCCAGGGAAGUCUUUUUUUAAGGACCUUAAUCCCAUUCAUGAGACCUCCUAAAGGCCCCACGUAUUAAUACUAUUACAUUGGUGAUUAAACUUCAACAUAUGAAUGUGGGAGGACACAUUCAGAUUAUAAUACAAUUUAAUUCAUAUUCACCCCAAACUGAAGAAAACACAAAUGAUUUUACCUGUUGAAUGGAUAAAUGCACUGUAAUUCAUUCACAUUAUGAAAUAUUACUCAACAAUGAGAAAGAACAAACUGUUGCCAGGUAUGGUGGUCAUGCCUAUAAUCCUAGUGAUUCAAGAGGCUGAGACAGGAGGAUGGUCAAGUUUGAGGCCAGCCUCAGCAGCUUAGUGAGACUGUCUCAAAACUAAUAAAAAAAAAAAAAAAGAAAGAAUUGAGGAUGCAAUUUAGUGGUAAAGUUUGUCUUUGGCACCAAGACAAACAAACAACAGCAACAAUAACAAAAAACAAAGAAAGAAAAGGAAACAAACUAUUAAUACAGUCAAUAAGAUGGAUGAACCUCAACUAUAUUAUAUUAAUCCAGGGAUCAGCAAACUUUGGUUUGCAGGCCAAAUCCUGCCAUCUCUAUUUAUUUAGGUAUUGUCUGUAGUCCUAGUGACUCAAGAGGCUGAGACAGGAGGAUAGUCAAGUUUGAGGCCAGCCUCAGCAGUUUAGUGAGACUCUAUUUCAAAAUAAAGUGGUAAAGACAAACAAACAACAGUUUUCAUGCUACAAUGGCAAAUUUAAGUAUUUGUAUCGGAGAUAAUAUGAUUCCCAAAGUUGAAAAUAUUUACUAUCUGGCCCUUUACAGAAAAAGCGUGCCAAUCCCUGUGAUAAGUGAAGGGAGUCAGAUACAGAAGCCUACAUAAUCUAUGGUUCCAUUUAUGUGACAUUCUGGAGAAGGUAAAACCCCUGGGAUAGAGAUCACUGGUUCCCAGGGGUCAGUUCGGGUAUAGGAAUUGACUACAGAUGGACAGCAUAAGAACAUUUUUUGGGUGUGAAGCAACUCUCCUGCAUCUUCAUUAUGGUGAUCCUCACACAUCUCCAUUCACUUUCCAAAGCUAAAAGAAACGAUUCAACUGCAACUGCAUAUACAAAGUCUUCCUGUAUAUCAACAAAAAACUGAAUAAAAAAUAAGUGCUAUAAAAAUUGUGUAUGUAUUUGGACAUUUUGGUUGCAAAUUGUAGAAGUUGAGAUGAUUUUUUAAUAGGAAAAAUGGAGAUAAUUCAGUAUUCAGGUAACUGGAAGUAAUACUGCCAUCUAUGACAAAUCGAAAAGAAGGGCUUCAGGAACUGGGUCUGAGAGAAGAGAUCUGGAGAUCACAGGCCUGGACUCUUUCUCUCUGCCUGCCCUCAAGUUCUCUGUGCAUGGUCACUCUCCACUGAUCUCUUUGUUGCAGGGAUCCUGUCCUCUGGCAGUCCCAAUUCAGUAGCCCAGCUGGAAACAGACAACUUCUUUUCCUCUAAACAUUCAUUUAACGACUCAGGGAAGGGCUAUGAUGGGCUCUGCUUUGCCACCAGCCUUGAUCCAUGGCUGUUCUCAUCCCAUUUCUGUGACCCAAGGACCAGGGUCUGCUUUGAGAAGAAGAAUGGAAAGCCUUUUGAGUGGACACAAUCCAUAGCAGUCUCAGUUAACUUUACUUGCCAUCAGUGAAUAUAAUUAACAAUCAAUAUUUUAUUUCUAGUUCAUGUCUAUUUAUAGUUUCACAAUUGUUAUCUUACCCUUUACAAACAUUGAUUUGGAAGGCAGGUUUGAGGUAUUUAAAAGAAAGGUUUUGAAGCAUUUGUCAAGUGGUCUCUGACCUACAGAACAGGGAGCCAUUCUUAAUUAACCAUGAAAAUAUUUAUGUCAGCUUUCAGUGGAUUUCAUUUAAGUAUUAAUAUUUCAAGAAAAAAAUGUUGUAAAAGAAGUGACCUAAUGCUAUAGGUAUAGCCCAAAUAAGAGACAUUGUAUGGAUUAAGACUGUACUGUAGCAACCUUUAUGAUUAAGCUUUUUUCCCUUUGAAGUAUGAGCUUUUAAACAUUUAGGGAAAUUCUUUUUAAAAAUUCAAAUCUAGAUAGCCUCUUGUCAAAAGAGAAAAGAUGCAUAAUUCUAAGGAUUUUCUGAGCAUGGCAUCAAUCAUGACGAUUGAAUUUGGCUUACUAAUUUUCCUGCCUCUGUGAAGGAACUAGAACUAACAUUCUCUUUAAAUGGAAAGCAGACAUACAAAGACCUUAAUUUUCUCUUUUCAUGCAGUGUAUGCUAUAAAGAAAUCAUUAAACAAAGUAUAAAACUCCUUCCAAAUCAAAAGACACAGAAAUUUCAUUAUCUUGUUUUUCUCUUUCCCUUUCUGCAGUGUUAUUGCAAGGGCUCCACCUGAUGGGUUAGCUUAGCCAAGAGAAAAUCAACUACACACUGAUCUCAUGUCCCUAAAUUACCACCCAAUAAGAGGAGGAAGAGAGAAAAAUAAAAGCUGGCUUCCAUUUGCCCAGCCUUCUGGUUCAUCGACCUGGGAACACAGACUGCAUUGGCUGCUCAUUUACAGGGCUGCAUUGAUGGCUUCUCCCCAGGAGGGAACCAUGGAGAGAAUCAUUCACCCUCAAACUCCUCUGAUACUUGGUGCCUGAGGAAGCAAAAGCAGAUAAAGAAAUUGGAAUGAGACUUGCCUGAGAGGAACUUUGAAUCAUUUCAGAGAGGAAUGAAAUCUCAAAUUUUAAAACCUA